AUACGUAGGGGACAAGCGUUAUCCGGAUUUACUGGGUGUAAAGGGAGCGUAGGCGGCCAGCCAAGUCAGAAGUGAAAUCCCACGGCUCAACUGUGGGCGUGCUUUUGAAACUGGAGGGCUUGAGUACUGGAGGGGCAAGCGGAAUUCCUGGUGUAGCGGUGAAAUGCAUAGAUAUCAGGAAGAACACCGGAGGCGAAGGCGGCUUGCUGGACAGAGACUGACGCUGAGGCUCGAAGGCGUGGGGAGCAAACAGGAUUAGAUACCCUGGUAGUCCACGUGGUAAACGAUGAAUGCUAGGUAUUGGGCUCCAUAGGGGUUCGGUGCCGCAGUUAACGCAAUAAGCAUUCCACCUGGGGAGUACGUUCGCAAGAAUGAAACUCAAAUGAAUUGGCGGGG
Molecule: ribosomal RNA, 396 nt
Filed under: uncultured bacterium
Lineage: Bacteria
Description: partial 16S ribosomal RNA
Rfam family: Bacterial small subunit ribosomal RNA
Source: RNAcentral